This 200-nucleotide ribosomal RNA is filed under the name uncultured bacterium. RNAcentral describes it as "partial 16S ribosomal RNA". It matches the Rfam family "Bacterial small subunit ribosomal RNA", at positions 1300 to 1500 of the family's 1533-position model. The record is from RNAcentral.
GCAGGCUGCAACUCGCCUGCAUGAAGGUGGAAUUGCUAGUAAUCGCGAAUCAGAAUGUCGCGGUGAAUACGUUCCCGGGCCUUGUACACACCGCCCGUCACACCAUGAGAGUUGGGGAUACCCGAAGUCAGUAGUCCAACCACGUGAGGACGCUGCCGAAGGUAGGAUUGGCGACUGGGGUGAAGUCGUAACAAGGUAAC